Molecule: ribosomal RNA, 478 nt
Filed under: uncultured bacterium
Lineage: Bacteria
Description: partial 16S ribosomal RNA
Rfam family: Bacterial small subunit ribosomal RNA
Source: RNAcentral
GAUGAACGCUGGCGGCGUGCUUAACACAUGCAAGUCGAACGGGAAUUAUUUUAUUGAAACUUCGGUCGAUUUAAUUUAAUUCUAGUGGCGGACGGGUGAGUAACGCGUGGGUAACCUGCCUUAUACAGGGGGAUAACAGUCAGAAAUGGCUGCUAAUACCGCAUAAGCGCACAGAGCUGCAUGGCUCAGUGUGCAAAACUCCGGUGGUAUAAGAUGGACCCGCGUUGGAUUAGCUGGUUGGUGGGGUAACGGCCCACCAAGGCGACGAUCCAUAGCCGGCCUGAGAGGGUGAACGGCCACAGUGGGACUGAGACACGGCCCAGACUCCUACGGGAGGCAGCAGUGGGGAAUAUUGCACAAUGGGGGAAACCCUGAUGCAGCGACGCCGCGUGAAGGAAGAAGUAUCUCGGUAUGUAAACUUCUAUCAGCAGGGAAGAUAGUGACGGUACCUGACGAAGAAGCCCCGGCUAACUACGUG